AGGGUUUGAUCCUGGCUCAGAACGUACGCUGGCGGCACGCCUAACACAUGCAAGUCGAACGAAGUAGCAAUACUUAGUGGCAGACGGGUGAGUAACAUGUAGGUAUCUACCCUUUGGCCUGGAAUAACACGAGGAAACUUGUGCUAAUACCGGAUAAGUCUUUACGGAGAAAGCUUUAUGCACCAUUGGAUGAGCCUGCAUUUGAUUAGUUUGUUGGUGGGGUAAUGGCUCACCAAGACUGUGAUCAAUAGCUGAUUUGAGAGGAUGAUCAGCCACAUUGGGACUGAGACACGGCCCAAACUCCUACGGGAGGCAGCAGUGGGGAAUCUUGCACAAUGGAGGAAACUCUGAUGCAGCGAUGCCGCGUGAGUGAAGAAGGCCUUUGGGUUGUAAAGCUCUUUCGUCGGGGAAGAAAAUGACUGUACCCGAAUAAGAAGGUCCGGCUAACUUCGUGCCAGCAGCCGCGGUAAUACGAAGGGACCUAGCGUAGUUCGGAAUUACUGGGCUUAAAGAGUUCGUAGGUGGUUGAAAAAGUUGGUGGUGAAAUCCCAGAGCUUAACUCUGGAACUGCCAUCAAAACUUUUCAGCUAGAGUUUGAUAGAGGAAAGCAGAAUUUCUAGUGUAGAGGUGAAAUUCGUAGAUAUUAGAAAGAAUACCAAUUGCGAAGGCAGCUUUCUGGAUCAUUACUGACACUGAGGAACGAAAGCAUGGGUAGCGAAGAGGAUUAGAUACCCUCGUAGUCCAUGCCGUAAACGAUGUGUGUUAGACGUUGGAAAUUUAUUUUCAGUGUCGCAGCGAAAGCGAUAAACACACCGCCUGGGGAGUACGACCGCAAGGUUAAAACUCAAAUGAAUUGACGGGGACCCGCACAAGUAGUGGAGCAUGUGGUUUAAUUCGAAGAUACGCGCAGAACCUUACCAACACUUGACAUGUUCGUCGCGACUUUAAGAGAUUAAAGUUUUCGGUUCGGCCGGACGAAACACAGGUGCUGCAUGGCUGUCGUCAGCUCGUGUCGUGAGAUGUUGGGUUAAGUCCCGCAACGAGCGCAACCCUCACUUUUAGUUGCCAUCAUUAAGUUGGGCACUCUGAAAGAACUGCCAGUGAUAAGCUGGAGGAAGGUGGGGAUGACGUCAAGUCCUCAUGGCCCUUACGUGUUGGGCUACACACGUGCUACAAUGAUAUUUACAAAAGGAAGCAAAACGGCGACGUUUAGCAAAUCCUAAAAAAAUAUCUCAGUUCGGAUUGCACUCUGCAACUCGAGUGCAUGAAGCUGGAAUUACUAGUAAUCGUGGAUCAGCGUGCCACGGUGAAUGCGUUCCCGGGUCUUGUACACACCGCCCGUCACACCAUGGGAGUUGGUUCUACCUUAAGGCAAGGUUUAAAAUCCUUGACCACGGUAUAGUCAGCGACUGGGGUGAAGUCAUAACAAGGUAACCGUA
Molecule: ribosomal RNA, 1439 nt
Filed under: uncultured bacterium
Lineage: Bacteria
Description: bacterial SSU rRNA
Rfam family: Bacterial small subunit ribosomal RNA
Source: RNAcentral